This is a non-coding RNA of Dipodomys ordii (Ord's kangaroo rat), 70 nucleotides long. The record is from Rfam. Lineage: Eukaryota; Metazoa; Chordata; Mammalia; Rodentia; Heteromyidae.
GGGAAAGUGGCUCAGUGGUAGAGCACUUGCUUUGGAUGCUUGAGGCCCUGGGUUCGAUUCCUUAGCACCA